GAUGAACGCUAGCGGCAGGCCUAACACAUGCAAGUCGAGGGAGGAGCCUUCGGGCUUCGACCGGCGUACGGGUGCGUAACGCGUAUACAAUCUGCCUUUCACAUAGGGAUAGCCCGAAGAAAUUUGGAUUAAUACCUAAUGGUAUAUAGAUGUGGCAUCACCUUUAUAUUAAAGCUGAGGCGGUGAAAGAUGAGUAUGCGUUCUAUUAGCUAGUUGGAGAGGUAACGGCUCCCCAAGGCGACGAUAGAUAGGGGUUCUGAGAGGGAUAUCCCCCACACUGGUACUGAGAUACGGACCAGACUCCUACGGGAGGCAGCAGUGAGGAAUAUUGGACAAUGGUAGGAAGACUGAUCCAGCCAUGCCGCGUGCAGGAAGACGGCCUUAUGGGUUGUAAACUGCUUUUGCAGGGGAAGAAUAAGGACUACGCGUAGUUUGAUGACGGUACUCUGCGAAUAAGCAUCGGCUAACUCCGUGC
RNAcentral lists this ribosomal RNA (475 nucleotides) under uncultured bacterium. RNAcentral's name for it is "partial 16S ribosomal RNA". It matches the Rfam family "Bacterial small subunit ribosomal RNA", at positions 28 to 508 of the family's 1533-position model. The record is from RNAcentral.